This 85-nucleotide small nuclear RNA is filed under the name Marmota marmota marmota (Alpine marmot). Its description in RNAcentral is "U4 spliceosomal RNA (ENSMMMG00000010404.1)". The stretch from base 1 to 75 matches the Rfam family "U4 spliceosomal RNA". From Rfam's summary of the family: U4 small nuclear RNA (U4 snRNA) is a component of the major U2-dependent spliceosome. The structure of U4 snRNA from yeast and human has been reported. U4 snRNA presents a k-turn RNA motif in the 5p-SL related to recognition of Snu13 protein. Lineage: Eukaryota; Metazoa; Chordata; Mammalia; Rodentia; Sciuridae. The record is from RNAcentral.
AGCUUUGCGCAGUGGCAGUAUCGUAGCCAAUGAGGUUUAUCCGAGGCGCGAUUAUUGCUAAUUGAAAACUUCAUGGACGAUGGCA